Molecule: non-coding RNA, 858 nt
Organism: Urocitellus parryii (Arctic ground squirrel)
Lineage: Eukaryota; Metazoa; Chordata; Mammalia; Rodentia; Sciuridae
Source: RefSeq, a predicted model, not a curated record
CUAAGAAAAGGGAGGUCUUGUCGCGUGCUUGUUCUUUUUUGGCGUCCCGCGCGCUCUCUCGCCAUCUCUCGAAAUCCCCAAGCAUCCUGCAACUUCCCCAGCUGUCUGCUCUGUCUCCGCCGCUUCCCGGCGCCAGGGCGUCGGGGCCUCGCUGUGAACGCCUCUCCUGCAGACAUGAAAGCUCUCUCCUGGAUGUUUCUUGCUGGUUCUGCAGCAGCCAGCGCCCUCUUCUCUCUGGAUUCCCUCGGGGGCGUUCAGCCUCCAGGGGGAGGAUGUCCCCGGGAUUGUCAGGUGUCCUCUGUGCCUAGCAGCCCCCUGUCAUUAAGAGGAGGCUGAAAAAGAAAAAAAGGGGAGGCUGGGCUAUGAUGCUCCUGAGGUGUGGAUCCUGGAUGCUUCUCCAGAGAGAACAGUGAUGUUCAGCUUCAAGACCAAGGCAAAGGCUGCUUCCUUUUGUUUGCUCCCUCACUAUGGCCUGCAGGGACAUGCUCCCCAAACUCUCCUCUCCCAUUCUGAGAAGCAGAAGAAGCUUUUGUUAAACACAAUCUUGGUGCUGUUCAUGGACACUGGAGGGGCAGAGAAUUGAGAGUGAUGUCAUCCCAUGAAGCUUCACUGCCAGCUGUAUGCGGAGACCAUUGAGAAACUAGGGCCAUGGACAGGAAAGCCCAGCUCCAUCUGUCUGCCUGUACCUGCAGUGACUUUUUUUUUUUUUAAAGUCAUGGUCUCUAAGUUGAACAGGCUGGCCUUGAGUUUGCCAUCCUCUUGCCUCAGCCUCCUGAGUCACUGGGGAUUACUGGCAUGUGCUGUGGUGGCUGGCUCUGGACUUUCCCUUGGUCUUUAUGUCCUCCCAUCCCCCAUUCA